UACAGAGGUCUCAAGCGUUGUUCGGAUUCAUUGGGCGUAAAGGGUGCGUAGGCGGCGCGGUAAGUCGGGUGUGAAAUCUUGGAGCUUAACUCCGAAACUGCAUUCGAUACUGCCGUGCUUGAGGACUGGAGAGGAGACUGGAAUUUACGGUGUAGCGGUGAAAUGCGUAGAUAUCGUAAGGAAGACCAGUGGCGAAGGCAGGUCUCUGGGACUGACACUGACGCUCAUGCACGAAAGGCGUGGGAGCAA
RNAcentral lists this ribosomal RNA (249 nucleotides) under uncultured bacterium. Its description in RNAcentral is "partial 16S ribosomal RNA". It matches the Rfam family "Bacterial small subunit ribosomal RNA", at positions 524 to 771 of the family's 1533-position model. The record is from RNAcentral.